CAGUUCUGCCCAGAGGAUCACACAGAACCAACAUUUCAAUGGUGUCUUGUCCUGAAGUGGUGAAUUUUUAUAAAAAAUUUUUUUGCUGUUUUUCAAAAAAAUAAUUAAGGCUGAAACGUACAUUUUGAAGUAAGGGAGGUUUAUAAAUUCUAGUGCGAGCACAAAGCGGUUAAAAUGACCAGCGAGUGAGAUCUGUGGUGUCUCGAACUUCCUUCGUAAAGAAGUUUCACGUGUCACUGUUGAAGGAUUACCGCGAGAUCUCGAGACGGUUAAUACAGAACAAAACCCAAACUUCCUUUCCUUUUAUUCCUUCCCCUCCUUUCAUCUCCUCCAGUCACUGACAGGAAUAAUAAAGCCAGUGUUCUAUUGCUGAACCUUUGAUCAUUUCUACAUCGAGGGUAAAUCAGGAGCUAGUGAAGCGACUGGACGUAGAAGGAGGUGAUGAAAAUAAAGAGCGAUAGAACAUGACCGAAAAGAACAGGAGUAAAUAAUGAACAUCAUUUGAUUCGCUGUUUAUUGUUUAUUUAUGUUAUUCACUCGCGCUUUAAUCCGCGUCUGCGUUCAUUUACAUAAUCGACUCGUUAAUGACGUAUUGUUAGAAAAAUCCUUCAGAAACGUCAGGAAUAAAAACUUCACCUAGACGUGAUGCGUGCACGCCUGCGAUCAUAAGACCAGCCUGACGUGACAGAUGCUUUCUCAUUCUUUGGGGGUAAAAUCUUAAUCCUACAUGUAGAUUAGAUUCAUGAUUAGAUCUUAAUUUCUAUGGAAGUUAUCUUGGAUGAAAAAUUUGGCAGAAGUAAAAAAAAUCUGUAAUAAUCUGGGCUUUUUACCUUCUCGCCCUGAAUUCUCAAACACCGACGUCACGGCUGAAAGAGCGAAUCCGAGCAAAACAUCCUAACUGAGAAAUAAGGCCUGAAAAGGGAACAGAUUUCCGCGAGUCCUCAUUUUUGUUGGUGUUUCACAUUUUGCUGAAUGAUUAUCUUCUAAACAAACUCAACGGAACGUGGAUCGGCAUUGAAUAAUGUGUCCUAGCUUCAUUACCUCAGAAUAACAGUUUAUGGCACAAAGUGACGGUUAAAGCACAGCAAGCUCGCUCUCUCUCACACACACACACACACACGCGCGCACACACACCGUACGCAUACAUACACACACACAGACACACACACACAGACACACACACACAAAGAGCACAAAGAGAUGUUGGGUUUGAUCUGAAAUCCCGUACUAAUGUGAAGUGAAACUGCUCACCUCCGAAUCUCCCCCCUACAUCCCUACAUCCGCUACCGGGAGGGUGUGUGUUCUCUGCCCUCUUCCUCAUACAGGAUCUCAUACAUGCCCGUGAUUGGCCGGUGUUGCUGUGAUUGACAGGACAGAAAGCAUGCCCCUCCCACACAGACAGCACGGCCAGUUUUGCUACCUGUCUCCCGCAGACUGUCGAUGUGACUGUCAGGAUGUGAACUCACGCCACUGGAGAGAUGAUAAUAUUCAGUACCGAAAACACCUUGCACCAGGGGUCUGAAACAUACAGACUGUGAUAACACACCUGAUCCGACCCCGCUCAGUGCAACUCAAAUUACAUUCAAAUCGUCGUGUGAAGAAAAGAAAUUCUUGGUUUGUCCACUAGGGGGUGAGUGACUCCGCCUCUGAUCAAAUGUGUUAAUGAUGUGAUCCUAAAAAGUUUAUGAUCUUUUAGGGGGUCCACAGGAACGGGGGAUGAAUACUUAUCGGUCAUUAACCUGUUUUUUUUUUUGCUCCGGCCCACUUAUAGCCUAAAGUGGCCCGUUACCUAAAAUGAGUUUCACGCCCCCGCUUUACAAAUUUAAUUAAAUAUACCUCUUGUGACCUUCGGUUACGUCAAUCUGGGGAAAAGACUCUGAAUAAGGCACUAUGAACAGAUUAUAUAUAUAACAGACUGGAUUUCUGGAAUAAUAAACAUGGUCCAUACGGGAAGGAAACGUUUCACACACACAUGCACACACACACACACACACACACACACACACACAGUCUACAGAUAAUAAAUCAGCCGCCUCCUGAGGGUCUCGUUUUCUCUGAAACUGUGAGCGUGGAGAUUUUUCAUGGAACAAUGUGAACUAAUCCUCGUGGUCAUGAUGAGACUGGCAUCGGGAUGUACACUGGAUUCGUGGAUUUAGCACAAACUCAGCGUCAAUUAAAAGAAUUUAGCACAAAUUUGAUCAACUUGCCACACGUUCACCAGCGAGGGGGUGGAGUUAGGAGCAUUUUACAGUCAGAUAUGUGGUACAGAUUGCUCAGAGUCUAGAGGAAUAUUCACACAGAUUUAGCAGCUAUUGGAAUUUACUACGAACUUUAACAGACUCGAUCAACUUUCCAUAAUAUUGAGCACCGCGUCGAGAAAUUAGCACCAAUCUACCAGCAACUGAAAGAAUUUAGCACAAAAAAUUACUUUAAAUAAAUAAUUAAUUAAUUAAAUAAAUAAAGCCUGGAUUGGGUCAUGACUCAGCUACACACAAAUACAAAUAAACAAACCCACCAUUUCUGCCUUUUCCUGAUAGAAUACACCGUAUAAACAAACCCCGAUGCCUAGUGUGCUGUCCACAUCGCCACACAUUAAAGACAGCAUCGUGUGCUGCUUGUAUUUAUUUAUCUUUUAUAUAUAUAUAUAUGUUUGUUUCAACAUACCAAUAUUUCUUAUUUUAAUUCAUGUAAGUUGUUUUUUAUUUUUCUGUACAAAUGUUGUUUAGGGGUUUUUUUCUCCCUUUAUUUAUGUUGAUUGUCAUUGUUUUGGAUUCGCCCCACAGGAAUUUGUACAUUAGCAUGCUAACUAGCGCCGUCGCAAUCAUGUUGUCGUCAUAUUAGCUUGAUUAGCUAACAUUAGCUAAUCGGUUUUGCCACCUAUACAAGCUAACUGUUCUUUGGUGCUUGUCUGUUGCUAGCUAGCUACUCGGCUAGUCAUUUUUACAAACAUAGGAAAAAACUGCAUAAAAAAACUAAUUAUAAAACAAAAUCCAAGAAGAGAAUUCACUGUUCUACAACAAGCCAUUUGUGAAGGUUUAAAUGUUUAAGGCGCUAACACUGCGGUUAGCGAAUCCGUUGUCUUAGCUUUACGGAGUAAUUUUUUUUCUUUCACUUUCUUUCCUCCAAAACAAAGAUUUAUAAAUGUGGAAGAAAUAUGAAACAUGGCUUAUUUUAGCUAGCUAGCUAAUUUCUUACAACCUUACUGAUUAGCAUAGUUAGCUAGCAAUAGUAGCUAACCAUUUAUUUUCCAUUGGUGCUUGUUUGUAGCUAGCUAGCAACAAAACAGGAGUUUUUAUUUUUUUCAUCCAGAAGACAUACAAAUGUUUACCAAAGCGGUAUGGGAAUAAAGUUAACAGCUAGUGAAAUGCAGUGCUUCAGUGAACGCUUAUAAGGUUGGCUCUCUGGUUAAACCGCUGUCUAUCUAGGCAGGAAGGGACUCACUAGGUAUUGAGACAAAGCCUCUUUUUGUUGUUUUGUAUUUAAUUUUUUUAUGAAUCUUGCAAUGAAAAGACGAAGUUGCUUUCGAUCUGUUUUUGUCCUGUUUUCUCUCUCAUUUGUGAAUUUAGUGCCAAUGUUCUCACAAGCACAAGUGCAUCUCCAUGUUGGAGAUCCGGGUUCCAUGCCUGAUUUUAAAGAGAAACAUGACUGUGUUGAGAAGGAGAAAAAAGAAGAAGAAAAAAGAAAUAUAAAUAUGAAAAAAUAUAUAUUGUGAAAACAUAUUUAUAGGCCAUUGGUGCUACAGUCGAG
Ictalurus punctatus (channel catfish) is the source of this 3747-nucleotide long non-coding RNA. Lineage: Eukaryota; Metazoa; Chordata; Actinopteri; Siluriformes; Ictaluridae. The record is from Ensembl.